CAGGCCUAACACAUGCAAGUCGAACGGCAGCACAGGAGAGCUUGCUCUCUGGGUGGCGAGUGGCGGACGGGUGAGGAAUACAUCGGAAUCUACUCUGUCGUGGGGGAUAACGUAGGGAAACUUACGCUAAUACCGCAUACGACCUACGGGUGAAAGCAGGGGAUCUUCGGACCUUGCGCGAUUGAAUGAGCCGAUGUCGGAUUAGCUAGUUGGCGGGGUAAAGGCCCACCAAGGCGACGAUCCGUAGCUGGUCUGAGAGGAUGAUCAGCCACACUGGAACUGAGACACGGUCCAGACUCCUACGGGAGGCAGCAGUGGGGAAUAUUGGACAAUGGGCGCAAGCCUGAUCCAGCCAUACCGCGUGGGUGAAGAAGGCCUUCGGGUUGUAAAGCCCUUUUGUUGGGAAAGAAAUCCAGCCGGCUAAUACCUGGUUGGGAUGACGGUACCCAAAGAAUAAGCACCGGCUAACUUCGUGCCAGCAGCCGCGGUAAU
This 492-nucleotide ribosomal RNA is filed under the name uncultured bacterium. RNAcentral describes it as "bacterial SSU rRNA". It matches the Rfam family "Bacterial small subunit ribosomal RNA", at positions 43 to 524 of the family's 1533-position model. The record is from RNAcentral.